Molecule: non-coding RNA, 395 nt
Filed under: Phoronis australis
Lineage: Eukaryota; Metazoa; Phoronida; Phoronidae
Source: RNAcentral
AUUAGUUUGACUUCCCAGCUAGCGAGUGUGCGGUCGCAUACUCGGUAGCCUUACCUAACCCUAUUCUUUUUUUGAUUCCCCGUUGCACCGAGUACGCAGUUGUUUGUUCAAGUUUUCUGCUGCUUGGGGACUUGGUGCGAAUUGAUAAAAACUUGUUAUGGGAUGUUUUAGGUAAAUUAAUGAUGCCGUUGCGUGGGUUUGGGCCCCUUGUGAAAACAUGUCCGGGCGACUUUGAGCGGAACUCACCCUGGGUUCGCCACGGGGUCCAGCUCAGUCGCUUCUGAAAUGUUCUCAGUACCAGCAGGCCCUCUUGUAAUGGCAGAUCAACGACUGCAUGGUUAUGUUUGUCAUACAACCAACCAUUUGUUUGACAGUAAAAGCAAUGCAGUACAAUU